This 253-nucleotide ribosomal RNA is filed under the name uncultured bacterium. Its description in RNAcentral is "partial 16S ribosomal RNA". It matches the Rfam family "Bacterial small subunit ribosomal RNA", at positions 524 to 776 of the family's 1533-position model. The record is from RNAcentral.
AACGUAGGACGCAAGCGUUAUCCGGAGUUACUGGGCGUAAAGCGCGGGCAGGCGGCUCGAUGCGUCUGAUGUGAAAUCUCCUCGCUCAACGGGGAGAGGCCAUUGGAAACGGUCGGGCUGGAGGGCAGUAGAGGCAGGCGGAAUUCCGGGUGGAGUGGUGAAAUGCGUAGAGAUCCGGAGGAACACCGGAGGCGAAGGCGGCAUGCUGGGCUGCAACUGACGCUGAGCCGCGAAAGCCAGGGGAGCAAACGGG